Molecule: ribosomal RNA, 457 nt
Filed under: uncultured Alphaproteobacteria bacterium
Lineage: Bacteria; Pseudomonadati; Pseudomonadota; Alphaproteobacteria
Description: bacterial SSU rRNA
Rfam family: Bacterial small subunit ribosomal RNA
Source: RNAcentral
GCGGUGGAGCAUGUGGUUUAAUUCGAAAGCAACGCGCAGAACCUUACCAGCCCUUGACAUCCCGGUCGCGGAUCGCAGAGAUGCUUUCCUCAGUUCGGCUGGACCGGUGACAGGUGCUGCAUGGCUGUCGUCAGCUCGUGUCGUGAGAUGUUGGGUUAAGUCCCGCAACGAGCGCAACCCCCGCCUUCAGUUGCCAACGGUUCGGCCGUGCACUCUGGAGGAACUGCCUGUGACAAGCAGGAGGAAGGUGGGGAUGACGUCAAGUCCUCAUGGCCCUUAUGGGCUGGGCUACACACGUGCUACAAUGGCGGUGGCAGAGGGAUGCAAUACCGCGAGGUGGAGCAAAUCCCUAAAAGCCGUCUCAGUUCGGAUUGUUCUCUGCAACUCGAGAGCAUGAAGUUGGAAUCGCUAGUAAUCGCGGAUCAGCUCGCCGCGGUGAAGUACGUUCCCGGGCCUU